UCAGGGGCUUGUCACAACCAUGUAAAGCUGACAAUGGUGGGAGAAACAAUGGUUUCCAGGAGGAAUUCUAGGCAGUUGUGUAAACAUUCCACCCUGAAGGAGGUAGAGCAGAAACCCUGUGGUGCUCCAGGCACUGCUGUCCAGAGCACAGCAUGGAGGAGAAACGUCCUAUCAGAAUCAUCAUGUAUCAGUAGGCAUUCUGCAGAGAAGUUGCUUCAAUCACUUUCUCUUGGUUUGUCAAAAUGACAGUGACAGCCCAUGGAAGGGGUCCCACUCAAGACUUGGAAAAAGGCUGCCUGAGGAGCUGGCCACCGUCUCUCUUCCAGGUGCUGGGCAGUGGGAGGCUUACAGACUUCCCUUGGGUCCUUCUGGAGAAGGCUUCUUGAAGCAAGCAGUUGGUGCUGGGUCUGGCUCUCCUUUCUCCUCUCAUGUGUAACAAGUGAACCCCAGCAAGUCAGAUAUGUCCUGUUUCUAUCCAAUUCUGUGCCUAUGUGUACCAAAAAAAUAAAAUAAAAUAAAAUAAAAGAAUGUUUCUAAGGAAGAAA
Long non-coding RNA from Rattus norvegicus (Norway rat), 545 nucleotides. RefSeq lists it as uncharacterized. Lineage: Eukaryota; Metazoa; Chordata; Mammalia; Rodentia; Muridae. The record is from RefSeq and is a predicted model, not a curated record.